This 606-nucleotide ribosomal RNA is filed under the name uncultured bacterium. RNAcentral describes it as "bacterial SSU rRNA". It matches the Rfam family "Bacterial small subunit ribosomal RNA", at positions 331 to 929 of the family's 1533-position model. The record is from RNAcentral.
CCAGACUCCUACGGGAGGCAGCAGUGGGGAAUCUUCCGCAAUGGGCGAAAGCCUGACGGAGCAACGCCGCGUGAGUGAAGAAGGUCUUCGGAUCGUAAAGCUCUGUUGUCGGGGACGAAAGGGUAGACGAGGUAAUGCGUUUACUAAGACGGUACCCGACGAGGGAGCCACGGCUAACUACGUGCCAGCAGCCGCGGUAAUACGUAGGCGGCAAGCGUUGUCCGGAAUUAUUGGGCGUAAAGGGAGCGCAGGUGGGACGGUAAGUCCGUCUUAAAAGGCAGGGGCUCAGCCCCUGUAAGGGAUGGAAACUAUCGAUCUUGAGUGCCGGAGAGGAAAGCGGAAUUCCCAGUGUAGCGGUGAAAUGCGUAGAUAUUGGGAAGAACACCAGUGGCGAAGGCGGCUUUCUGGACGGCAACUGACACUGAGGCUCGAAAGCCAGGGGAGCGAACGGGAUUAGAUACCCCGGUAGUCCUGGCCGUAAACGAUGGAUACUAGGUGUAGGAGGUAUCGACCCCUCCUGUGCCGGAGUUAACGCAAUAAGUAUCCCGCCUGGGGAGUACGGUCGCAAGACUGAAACUCAAAGGAAUUGACGGGGGCCCGCACAAG